This 31-nucleotide non-coding RNA is filed under the name Homo sapiens (human). The record is from RNAcentral. Lineage: Eukaryota; Metazoa; Chordata; Mammalia; Primates; Hominidae.
UCUUGGAAAAUGCAACAUUGGGGCAAGAAGU